AGCGGAAGCGGGAGCCGGCAGCUGCGGCACCAGGUCCCACAGCAUGGCGGGGGCGGGGCUGGGGGAGGCGCGCGCCGAGGAGGCCGGGGAGUCCCUCGCCCCGGCCCUUUGAUCCCGGACCGGACAGAGAUGUGAUAAUGGAUCAUCAUGUUUCCACCAUCAAACCUCGAAGAAUCCAAAACCAAAAUGUCAUUCACCGCCUGGAACGCCGGCGGAUCAGUUCAGGCAAGGCAGGCACCCACUGGCACCAGGUCCGAGUGUUCCACCAGAAUGUCUUCCCCAACUUCACGGUCGUCAAUGUUGAAAAGCCGCCUUGUUUCUUGCGUAAAUUCUCACCUGAUGGACGCUACUUCAUUGCUUUCUCUUCAGACCAGACAUCUCUUGAAAUCUAUGAGUACCAGGGCUGCCAGGCAGCCGAGGACCUACUGCAGGGCUAUGAGGGGGAGAUCCUGUCCAAUGGCAAUGACCAGCGGUCAGUCAACAUCCGUGGCCGGCUCUUCGAACGCUUUUUCGUCCUGCUGCACAUUACCAAUGUGGCGGCCAAUGGCGAGCACCUGAACCGGGAGUGCAGCCUCUUCACUGAUGACUGCCGCUGUGUCAUCGUGGGCUCAGCUGCCUAUCUCCCAGACGAGCCUCACCCUCCUUUUUAUGAGGUAUAUCGGAACAGUGAGUCCGUGACCCCCAACCCCCGGUCCCCCCUGGAGGACUACUCCCUCCAUAUCAUUGACCUUCAUACUGGCCGCUUAUGUGAUACACGUACCUUCAAGUGUGACAAAGUGGUCCUGUCACACAACCAAGGGUUGUACUUGUAUAAGAACAUCCUGGCCAUCUUGUCAGUGCAGCAGCAGACCAUCCAUGUCUUCCAGGUGACUCCUGAAGGCACUUUCAUUGAUGUGAGGACCAUUGGCCGCUUCUGCUAUGAGGAUGACCUGCUCACUGUGUCAGCUGUUUUUCCUGAGGUGCAGCGGGACAGUCAGACAGGCAUGGCCAAUCCUUUCAGGGAUCCCUUCAUCAACUCCCUGAAACACCGGCUGCUCGUGUACCUUUGGCGCCGGGCAGAGCAGGAUGGUAGUGCAAUGGCGAAGAGGCGCUUCUUCCAGUAUUUUGACCAACUACGGCAGCUGCGCAUGUGGAAAAUGCAGCUUCUGGAUGAAAACCAUCUGUUUAUCAAGUAUACUAGUGAGGAUGUCGUAACCCUGCGGGUCACAGAUCCAUCACAGGCAUCUUUCUUUGUGGUGUACAAUAUGGUGACAACAGAGGUGAUCGCUGUGUUUGAGAAUACAUCAGAUGAGCUUUUGGAGCUGUUUGAGAACUUCUGUGAUCUCUUCCGUAACGCUACCCUGCAUAGUGAAGUCCAGUUUCCCUGCUCAGCCUCCAGCAACAAUUUUGCAAGGCAGAUCCAGCGCCGGUUUAAAGACACUAUUGUAAACGCCAAGUAUGGCGGGCACACGGAGGCAGUACGCCGGCUGCUGGGUCAGCUCCCCAUCAGCGCCCAGUCUUACAGUGGCAGCCCUUACCUUGAUUUGUCUCUCUUCAGCUACGAUGACAAGUGGGUGUCAGUCAUGGAGCGGCCCAAGACUUGUGGAGAUCACCCUAUCAGAUAAGGAUUCAAGCACAGAGAGACUAAGUAACUUGCCAAAGGUCACAAAGCUGGAGCCAGAAUUCAAAUGGACUUCAGAGUCUGCAGCUCAGCCCCCUGCACCCCCCGCAUGUGACCUCCAACUCCUUCCUGCUUCCUCACUGCCCGCUGAUGACCUUCACAGAGAAAUAGAAGCAAUCAGAGGCUCUUCCAGCUCCCACUACCAAACAUCUGUGCCCACAGUCUCUGCCUUCUCUCCUGUUAUGAUGCUCCACUUGUGUGUUAGCCCCUCAAGGACAGCAGUCCGGCAUCCUCAUUCUUUCCCCUCUCUACUGCAUCAUUCCCAUCAGCAAAACAUGUGGUCAUUUCCCCAACCUAAAAACAAACAAAAACCUCUUGAUCCUAAAGCCUCCUUUAGCACCUGCCCAUUUCUAUAUUCCCUCUCAAAGAAAUGACCAUACCUGCUGUUUCUUCCUGUCUUCUAUUCUCCUUGAACCCAUGCCACUCAGACCUUAGCCCCUCAUACCUCCACCAAAAAUGCUCUAGUCAAGGUCACCAACCAACUCACAAUGUUAAGUCCAAUAAGCAAUUCUGUCAUCAGUCUAUGGACCUAUCAUAUCAGUAGCAUUUGAUAUAGCUAAUCUCUCUGCCUUUGAACCACAUUAAAAAAAAAACAGAACCCUCCAGGUUUUCUUAGUACUUCUCUGGAGGUUUCUUCUUUCUCUUUUGCUGAUCUUUCCUCAUCUCCCAAAUCUCUAAAUGCCAGAGGCUCCAGGGUUCUGUCCUUGGACCUCUUCUUCUCUUUGUUUACCCUUUCUCUCUUGAUGAUCUUGUAUCUUAUGGUUUUAAAUAUCAUCUAGGGACUUCCCUGGUGG
This is an RNA transcript of Balaenoptera musculus (blue whale), 2454 nucleotides long. It is a transcript of the gene named DET1 partner of COP1 E3 ubiquitin ligase, with no coding region annotated. The transcript is spliced from 6 exons. Lineage: Eukaryota; Metazoa; Chordata; Mammalia; Artiodactyla; Balaenopteridae. The record is from RefSeq and is a predicted model, not a curated record.